Molecule: long non-coding RNA, 749 nt
Organism: Centruroides sculpturatus (bark scorpion)
Lineage: Eukaryota; Metazoa; Arthropoda; Arachnida; Scorpiones; Buthidae
Exons: 4
Source: RefSeq, a predicted model, not a curated record
GAUAAUUAUAACAUUUUCUUACAGUGUGUGCCUCAGCUUUUAAAUUGGUGUUGCAUGUUCUCUUAUCAAGGCCAUUACAUAGUGGCGUGCGGCUAUAAUAUGACGGAAAAGAAAAUUUUAUAUAGAAAUCCCACGCUCACUAAUAAAAUAUGCAUCAUGCCUUUUGAAGAUUUUGAUAAAGCAAGGAGAAGUUUUGGAACGGACGAAGAUGUCAUCUUCGUGUACAAAAACAGAUGAUUAUGAUUACGUUUCAUAACUUUUAACAAUUUUUUAAUGAAAAAAUUUUCUUUUAAAAAAUUUUUCUGGGUUAACAUUUUAUAAUUUGGAAAAAAUACAUUUCUUCCUAGCAACAAUUUACUUAGAAUUGAAACUGUCCUUUCAGUUUAGGCACUUCUGUUUCUUUGUACUCCCAACGAUUCACUCUCUGAUAACGUAGGGUUCGUAAUCCGGUUGGACGACCUCAUAGAGUGAGUCGCUGUACAAUUCCAGACGUUGAGUCAUCUGCAAAAUAAAAAUAUCAAAAGACUUACGGAGCAGCCAUAGAAACUUCUCUUUACAUCUUAAUAAAUUUUGAAUAACAAUAAAUUGGAUUUAAAUGUGAAUGGAACCAAAAAUCGUGCGGUCAUCAUUUUGGUGACAAAGAAUAUAAAUCAUCACACAUACUAGUAGUGAUUUUUAAGUUAUUCUUGAUCUUCAUACAAUAUGCUCUAAUGACAUUCAUGUUUUUCUUUCAGAUUUAAAUUUCCAGA